AACGAACGCUGGCGGCGUGCUUAACACAUGCAAGUCGAACGCGAAAGGGACUUCGGUCCUGAGUAGAGUGGCGCACGGGUGAGUAACGCGUAGAUAACCUGUCCUUGUGUCUGGAAUAAUACGUCGAAAGGUGUACUAAUACCGGAUAUUCUUGCUUUAUAUAAGUUUUGCAAGCAAAGGUGGCCUCUGACAUAAGCUAUCGCAUAAGGAGGGGUCUGCGUACCAUUAGCUAGUAGGUGGGGUAAUGGCCUACCUAGGCUUCGAUGGUUAACGGGUCUGAGAGGAUGAUCCGUCACACUGGCACUGGAACACGGGCCAGACACCUACGGGAGGCUG
RNAcentral lists this ribosomal RNA (336 nucleotides) under uncultured Pseudomonadota bacterium. RNAcentral describes it as "bacterial SSU rRNA". It matches the Rfam family "Bacterial small subunit ribosomal RNA", at positions 29 to 351 of the family's 1533-position model. Lineage: Bacteria; Pseudomonadati; Pseudomonadota. The record is from RNAcentral.